This is a long non-coding RNA of Folsomia candida, 832 nucleotides long. RefSeq lists it as uncharacterized. The transcript has 2 exons. The record is from RefSeq and is a predicted model, not a curated record. NCBI's taxonomy places the organism in Eukaryota, Metazoa, Arthropoda, Collembola, Entomobryomorpha, Isotomidae.
AAUAGCAAAACACGCCAAAAAAGUGGAAAUGGUGACGAUUUAAUUAUUUGAAGUUGCGAGCAGUUACCUCGACCAGUAUCCAGCAGAAGCAGCGGCGGCAGUAUUCACCAAUCCAGUUUUAUGGUGGUACAAAAAGUUGAUGUGAACUGAAGAUUCACUAAGCUACACAGCCAUAUCGAGAGAACGAAGGACGUUCAGCAGCAAUCGAGGAGCAUCAGAAAUCAUUUUAUGCCAAACAUGUUUGGCAAACAAUAAUAAGCGAAUCGCACAUUACUGUCAAAGAAGUGAAUAGCAAUUGACUGGAAGAAACACACUCACCCAAUUUGCACCCAAUAAUCAAACACUUCUGCUGCUGCUGAGGAUGGUGGAUAUCCAUAAAGGUCAAUUUUACAGUGGUAAAACUUGUAAUGGCAUUGAUUUCAGCGGAUGAUGAUUAAUCCCCGAGAGAUAUCAUCGAUAUUGAACAAGGAUUUGCGAUUGAGAUUAAUAUGAGCAUUUAUCAUCAUCUAAACACAUAUGCAAGCGCUACAGGACUUUGUUAUUGCAAAUGCCGUCAAAAUUCUUUCGCUCGAGUGAGUGUGUCGCUGAGAUGUAAAAGAAGACAAAUAAUAAUCUCUCGACUUUCCGCUAAGCUCAAGACACAAGAAGGUCAACUGUCAUCCCAUGAGCCAGCAAUCCUUCUUCGUCUUCCUGAACUUUAUUACUUCUGCCACUUCUGCAAUCUUCAUCUGGACAUUUAGCAGAGAACUCGCUACUUAAUCGCUAAAUACAAAAAUUUAAAUUAUUUGUGGCAAUAAACAAACACCAAAUGAAUAAAAGUGAGAAGAUGAGA